UACGGAGGAUACGAGCGUUAUCCGGAUUUAUUGGGUUUAAAGGGUGCGCAGGCGGCCAUUUAAGUCAGCGGUUAAAUCGUGGGGCUCAACCCCAUUCUGCCGUUGAUACUGGGUGGCUUGAUUGCGGUCGAGGUUGGCGGAAUUCGUUGUGUAGCGGUGAAAUGCAUAGAUAUGACGAAGAACACCGAUUGCGUAGGCAGCUGACCAGACCGCAAAUGAAGCUCAUGCACGAAAGUGCGGGGAUCGAACAGGAUUAGAUACCCUGGUAGUCCGCACAGUAAACGAUGAAUACUUGUUUUCGGCGAUAUAAUGUCGGAGGCAAAGCGAAAGCGAUAAGUAUUCCACCUGGGGAGUACGCCGGCAACGGUGAAACUCAAAGGAAUUGACGGGG
RNAcentral lists this ribosomal RNA (391 nucleotides) under uncultured bacterium. RNAcentral describes it as "partial 16S ribosomal RNA". It matches the Rfam family "Bacterial small subunit ribosomal RNA", at positions 524 to 918 of the family's 1533-position model. The record is from RNAcentral.